This 497-nucleotide ribosomal RNA is filed under the name uncultured bacterium. RNAcentral's name for it is "partial 16S ribosomal RNA". It matches the Rfam family "Bacterial small subunit ribosomal RNA", at positions 28 to 507 of the family's 1533-position model. The record is from RNAcentral.
GAUGAACGCUGGCGGCGUGCCUAACACAUGCAAGUCGAGCGAACGGACGAGAAGCUUGCUUCUCUGAUGUUAGCGGCGGACGGGUGAGUAACACGUGGAUAACCUACCUAUAAGACUGGGAUAACUUCGGGAAACCGGAGCUAACACCGGAUGAUAUUUUGAACCGCAUGGUUCAAAAGUGAAAGACGGUCUUGCUGUCACUUAUAGAUGGAUCCGCGCUGCAUUAGCUAGUUGGUAAGGUAACGGCUUACCAAGGCAACGAUGCAUAGCCGACCUGAGAGGGUGAUCGGCCACACUGGAACUGAGACACGGUCCAGACUCCUACGGGAGGCAGCAGUAGGGAAUCUUACGCAAUGGGCGAAAGCCUGACGGAGCAACGCCGCGUGAGUGAUGAAGGUCUUCGGAUCGUAAAGCUCUGUUAUUAGGGAAGAACAUAUGUGUAAGUAACUGUGCACAUCUUGACGGUACCUAAUCAGAAAGCCACGGCUAACUACGUG